GAGAAUUUAUGUACCUUUGCAGACGGCCGUCGUUUUCGUUGGGCACUUGCAUCCCGACUGACAACUGAUCACCCCACUGACAAGCACAAGUAGAAUUAACACCGGAGGUCUCAUCAGGGCAGAGAUCUGGAAAAAGUUGGCGAUUU
Molecule: non-coding RNA, 146 nt
Organism: Caenorhabditis elegans
Lineage: Eukaryota; Metazoa; Nematoda; Chromadorea; Rhabditida; Rhabditidae
Source: Ensembl